GGUGGGGCUCAGUGGUAGAGCACGUGCUUAGCAUGUAUGCUUAGCAUGCACGAGGUCCUGGGUUCAAUCCCCAGUCCCUCCA
RNAcentral lists this transfer RNA (82 nucleotides) under Camelus bactrianus (Bactrian camel). It matches the Rfam family "tRNA". Rfam says of the family: Transfer RNA (tRNA) molecules are approximately 80 nucleotides in length. Their secondary structure includes four short double-helical elements and three loops (D, anti-codon, and T loops). RNAcentral also lists the same sequence under 2 other names. The record is from Rfam by way of RNAcentral. Lineage: Eukaryota; Metazoa; Chordata; Mammalia; Artiodactyla; Camelidae.